This is a long non-coding RNA of Amphimedon queenslandica, 1628 nucleotides long. RefSeq lists it as uncharacterized. The transcript is spliced from 3 exons. The record is from RefSeq and is a predicted model, not a curated record. NCBI's taxonomy places the organism in Eukaryota, Metazoa, Porifera, Demospongiae, Haplosclerida, Niphatidae.
CUAAAAAUUAGACCGGAAGUAGAAACAAUGCUAUUUAACCCUUUUACCACACCCCUUUAAUUAGAAAUGCCUAGGCUGAGUUGGACUUCUGCAGCCGCCAAAGUCUAUAGCAACACCAACCAGGCUACGCCCCCAUUUCCAAUGCCUUUUAUUUUACCAUAAUGGCUCUUAUUUUUUGUUAGUCAAAAUUUGUUAAGUGUUUUUGCUUGAAAAAAAUUUUUAAUGACGAAAUUUUUGUUCCACAUGGCUAGUAUGCAGAUAAUUAUUUAUUCAUGAAAAUUAAUUUUAACAAGAAAUUGAGAUUUUGACGAAAUUUUUGACUAAUAAAAAUUUGGAGCUAUACGGGUACUCUCAAUUAGUAAAAUUUAAACCAUUCAUGAAUAAUCCUGUUUGAUGUUAAUGAUAUGAAUGAGGUUUCCAAAUGCUAUGGAGACCACUACAUUGAAGCCAUUCGACAAAAUACCACAAGUGUACAUUUGCUUGAGCCUAAUUAAUAACUAUACACCUUUGUGAGUAUGGUGUGACAUACUGUAUCACUAUACUCCCAACUGACCCAACAAAGCCAUAAGAUUCUUCUAUUUUCACAGAAGAGAUUCCCACCCCAGGGGCGUAGCCAGGGGGGGCAAGGGGGGCAAUUGCCCCCCUUUUUUAAAACUCAAAAUUUAAAAAUAAUCAAAUAAUAAACUGCUUUUGGAAGGAAAAGCUGUUCUACAACUUACAUAUCAAAGGAAAAGGCCAAAGCAGUCUUUCUAUGAUGCCAUUAUAAGGCUGAAAAGGUAUUCAACGUUGCCUAUAAUAGGUUAAGAAGUCCGCCAUGUUGAAAAAUAGGUGUAGCCACGCUACCAAAAGGGGGUGGCUUCGCAAAAUUUCGCGGCGCGCUUCGCGCGCCGCACAGCUUGCCCCCCCCCCUUUUCCAAAAAUCCUGGCUACGCCACUGCACCCUAUAAUAAACUACAGAAUCUCUCUCUCCUAUUGAACACUAAAAUCAAAUGUCUAUAAAAUAUUAUGGAACAGUUACUUAACAUCAAUAAAAAUAAUAAAGCCACUGCUGUAUUAUUAGGUGAUAGUAUUGGUGAUAAAAAGGCUAAGAACAUAUAUUAAAAUUUACUGACACAUUAACAAAUUGUACAAAGUUUUCUAAACCUGGAAGAUUUGUACGUUGACCUAAGGGGAGAUAGGGUCAUUCCAGUGUAUUGAUCAACUGUAGCUCAGGACCACAGCUAGUGGUGGGUGGAUUACUUAUCAAGGACUGUUGGUUGUUAAAUAUAAGCAAAAUGGAAUGGAAAGAACCGACAUUUUGGACAAGAAGUCUUUAAAAGUUCUUUCCAUUAUUGUGCUCAUUGGUACUGCAUGCAAUUGGUGUUCAAGUUGCUGAUUUGUUGCAUAGAGCUUCUAUGCAACUGCUUCUGAUAAGUUGAUACUAUUGUUCCAGAGAUGAAUGGACUCCAAUAAAGGAGUGACCUGGAGGAAGGUCCUGCAAGUUUGUAAAGAUUAUCCAGAGGAAUUUGGAAGUGUCCAAGCUAAUGUGGAAAGAUUUUUUAUCAGACUGAGCCUGUGAUAACUCAGUAUUUUAGCCUUUUCCUGUAUGACUCUUAUAUUGAUGAUACUGUAAUAGUUUUCAUGGCCUU